This 74-nucleotide non-coding RNA is filed under the name unclassified sequences. The record is from Rfam.
AACUGCGCCGUGUCGGGAAGUGGAAACACUCUCGGAGCUUGCAAUUAGGCUUGAACAACACGUAGCGCAGUUUU